UCCGUUGGUGAACCAGCGGAGGGAUCAUUACCGAGUUUACAACUCCCAAACCCAAUGUGAACGUUACCAAACUGUUGCCUCGGCGGGAUCUCUGCCCCGGGUGCGUCGCAGCCCCGGACCAAGGCGCCCGCCGGAGGACCAACCAAAACUCUUAUUGUAUACCCCCUCGCGGGUUUUUUACUAUCUGAGCCAUCUCGGCGCCCCUCGUGGGCGUUUCGAAAAUGAAUCAAAACUUUCAACAACGGAUCUCUUGGUUCUGGCAUCGAUGAAGAACGCAGCGAAAUGCGAUAAGUAAUGUGAAUUGCAGAAUUCAGUGAAUCAUCGAAUCUUUGAACGCACAUUGCGCCCGCCAGUAUUCUGGCGGGCAUGCCUGUCCGAGCGUCAUUUCAACCCUCGAACCCCUCCGGGGGGUCGGCGUUGGGGAUCGGCCCUUUACGGGGCCGGCCCCGAAAUACAGUGGCGGUCUCGCCGCAGCCUCUCCUGCGCAGUAGUUUGCACACUCGCAUCGGGAGCGCGGCGCGUCCACAGCCGUUAAACACCCCAAACUUCUGAAAUGUGACCUCGGAUCAGGUAGGA
Molecule: ribosomal RNA, 576 nt
Filed under: Trichoderma virens
Lineage: Eukaryota; Fungi; Ascomycota; Sordariomycetes; Hypocreales; Hypocreaceae
Description: eukaryotic LSU rRNA
Rfam family: 5.8S ribosomal RNA (bases 231-384)
Source: RNAcentral